RNAcentral lists this ribosomal RNA (795 nucleotides) under uncultured bacterium. RNAcentral's name for it is "bacterial SSU rRNA". It matches the Rfam family "Bacterial small subunit ribosomal RNA", at positions 8 to 796 of the family's 1533-position model. The record is from RNAcentral.
AGAGUUUGAUCAUGGCUCAGAUUGAACGCUGGCGGCGUGCCUAACACAUGCAAGUCGAGCGGUAACAGGUGUAGCAAUACAUGCUGACGAGCGGCGAACGGGUGAGUAAUGCUUCGGAAUCUACCCAAUGGUGGGGAAUAACCAGCCGAAAGGUUGGCUAAUACCGCAUACGUCCUACGGGAGAAAGCAGGGGAUCGUAAGACCUUGCGCCAAUGGAUGAGCCGAAGUCGGAUUAGCUAGUUGGUAGGGUAACGGCCUACCAAGGCGACGAUCCGUAGCUGGUCUGAGAGGACGACCAGCCACACUGGGACUGAGACACGGCCCAGACUCCUACGGGAGGCAGCAGUGGGGAAUAUUGGACAAUGGGGGAAACCCUGAUCCAGCGACGCCGCGUGUGUGAAGAAGGCCUGCGGGUUGUAAAGCACUUUUAGUGGGGAUGAAAAGUGCAGAGCUAAUACCUCUGCAUCUUGACCUAACCCACAGAAAAAGCACCGGCUAACUCUGUGCCAGCAGCCGCGGUAAUACAGAGGGUGCAAGCGUUAAUCGGAAUUACUGGGCGUAAAGCGUGCGUAGACGGUUACAUAAGUCGGGUGUGAAAGCCCCGGGCUCAACCUGGGAAUUGCAUUCGAGACUGCGUAGCUAGGGUGCGGAAGAGGGAAGCGGAAUUUCCGGUGUAGCGGUGAAAUGCGUAGAUAUCGGAAGGAACACUAGUGGCGAAAGCGGCUUCCUGGUCCAGCACCGACGUUCAGGCACGAAAGCGUGGGGAGCAAACAGGAUUAGAUACCCCCGUAGUCC